UUUAGGAAUAUUCGUCAAUGGGGGAAACCCUGAACGAGCAAUGCCGCGUGAGCAAUAAGGUCCACGUGUGGUCCGAUGAGAGUAGCAUACGAAUAAGCAUCGGCUAACUCCGUGCCAGCAGCCGCGGUAAUACGGAGGAUGCAAGCGUUAUCCGGAUUCAUUGGGUUUAAAGGGUGCGUAGGCGGCUUGGUAAGUCAGCGGUGAAAUUCCAGUGCUCAACAUUGGCCGUGCCGUUGAUACUGCUGGGCUUGAAUGCGGAUGCCGUGGGAGGAAUGUGUGGUGUAGCGGUGAAAUGCAUAGAUAUCACACAGAACACCGAUUGCGAAGGCAUCUCACGAAUCCGCAAUUGACGCUGAGGCACGAAAGUGUGGGGAUCAAACAGGAUUAGAUACCCUGGUAGU
Molecule: ribosomal RNA, 401 nt
Filed under: uncultured Rikenellaceae bacterium
Lineage: Bacteria; Pseudomonadati; Bacteroidota; Bacteroidia; Bacteroidales; Rikenellaceae
Description: bacterial SSU rRNA
Rfam family: Bacterial small subunit ribosomal RNA
Source: RNAcentral